ACGGAAGGCAGCAGUGAGGAAUAUUGGUCAAUGGGCGGGAGCCUGAACCAGCCAAGUAGCGUGAGGGAUGACUGCCCUACGGGUUGUAAACCUCUUUUGUUUGGGAAUAAAGGAGCCUACGUGUAGGCUUUUGCAUGUACCUUUCGAAUAAGCAUCGGCUAAUUCCGUGCCAGCAGCCGCGGUAAUACGGAAGAUGCGAGCGUUAUCCGGAUUUAUUGGGUUUAAAGGGAGCGUAGGCGGCCUUUUAAGUCUGCGGUCAAAUGUCAGGGCCCAACCUUGGCAUGCCGUGGAUACUGAUGGGCUUGAAUACACGCAAGGCAAGUGGAAUUCGUCGUGUAGCGGUGAAAUGCUUAGAUAUGACGAAGAACUCCGAUUGGGAAGGCAGCCUUCUGGAGUGCGAUUGACGCUGAGGCUCGAAAGCGCGGGUAUCAAACAGGAUUAGAUACCCUGGUA
Molecule: ribosomal RNA, 453 nt
Filed under: uncultured Paraprevotella sp.
Lineage: Bacteria; Pseudomonadati; Bacteroidota; Bacteroidia; Bacteroidales; Prevotellaceae
Description: partial 16S ribosomal RNA
Rfam family: Bacterial small subunit ribosomal RNA
Source: RNAcentral